AACUGCGACCCCAGGU
This 16-nucleotide ribosomal RNA is filed under the name Erica arborea (tree heath). Its description in RNAcentral is "partial 28S ribosomal RNA". RNAcentral also lists the same sequence under 1 other name. The record is from RNAcentral. Lineage: Eukaryota; Viridiplantae; Streptophyta; Magnoliopsida; Ericales; Ericaceae.